AGGUUGAACGGCCACAUUGGGACUGAGACACGGCCCAGACUCCUACGGGAGGCAGCAGUGGGGAAUAUUGCACAAUGGGGGAAACCCUGAUGCAGCGACGCCGCGUGGAGGAAGAAGGUCUUCGGAUUGUAAACUCCUGUUGCUGAGGAAGAUAAUGACGGUACUCAACAAGGAAGUGACGGCUAACUACGUGCCAGCAGCCGCGG
This 206-nucleotide ribosomal RNA is filed under the name uncultured Bacillota bacterium. Its description in RNAcentral is "uncultured Firmicutes bacterium partial 16S ribosomal RNA". It matches the Rfam family "Bacterial small subunit ribosomal RNA", at positions 297 to 520 of the family's 1533-position model. The record is from RNAcentral. Lineage: Bacteria; Bacillati; Bacillota.